GAGUUGACGUCGUCGCGUCAGGACGAACGCUGGCGCGUGCCUAACACAUGCAAGUCGAACGGGGCGAAGGGAGCUUGCUCCUGGAGCCUAGUGGCGGACGGGUGAGUAACGCGUGAGUAACCUGCCUUUCAGAGGGGGAUAACAUUCUGAAAAGGAUGCUAAUACCGCAUAAAGUCAGAGUGUACGCAUGGCGCACUGACCAAAGGAGCAAUCCGCUGAAAGAUGGACUCGCGUCCGAUUAGCUAGUUGGCGGGGUAAAGGCCCACCAAGGCGACGAUCGGUAGCCGGACUGAGAGGUUGAACGGCCACAUUGGGACUGAGACACGGCCCAGACUCCUACGGGAGGCAGCAGUGGGGAUAUUGCACAAUGGGGGAAACCCUGAUGCAGCAACGCCGCGUGAGUGACGAAGGUCUUCGGAUUGUAAAACUCUGUUCUUGGUGAAGAUAAUGACGGUAGCCAAGGAGAAAGCUCCGGCUAACUACGUG
This 486-nucleotide ribosomal RNA is filed under the name uncultured Oscillospiraceae bacterium. Its description in RNAcentral is "bacterial SSU rRNA". It matches the Rfam family "Bacterial small subunit ribosomal RNA", at positions 1 to 507 of the family's 1533-position model. Lineage: Bacteria; Bacillati; Bacillota; Clostridia; Eubacteriales; Oscillospiraceae. The record is from RNAcentral.